CGUCUCCUCCAUUACUCCUCCAAGAGUAUGGAUUUCAGCCCGCUCCUUGAGCGGGCUUUUUUUU
This 64-nucleotide non-coding RNA is filed under the name Oxalobacteraceae bacterium IMCC9480. Its description in RNAcentral is "Betaproteobacteria toxic small RNA". It matches the Rfam family "Betaproteobacteria toxic small RNA". From Rfam's summary of the family: Overexpression in amino aid rich medium attenuates growth, suggesting role in repressing amino acid intake and metabolism. Lineage: Bacteria; Pseudomonadati; Pseudomonadota; Betaproteobacteria; Burkholderiales; Oxalobacteraceae. The record is from Rfam by way of RNAcentral.